RNAcentral lists this ribosomal RNA (492 nucleotides) under uncultured bacterium. Its description in RNAcentral is "partial 16S ribosomal RNA". It matches the Rfam family "Bacterial small subunit ribosomal RNA", at positions 29 to 507 of the family's 1533-position model. The record is from RNAcentral.
AGUGAACGCUGGCGGUAGGCCUAACACAUGCAAGUCGAACGGCAGCACAGUAAGAGCUUGCUCUUACGGGUGGCGAGUGGCGGACGGGUGAGGAAUACAUCGGAAUCUACUUUUUCGUGGGGGAUAACUUAGGGAAACUUACGCUAAUACCGCAUACGACCUACGGGUGAAAGCAGGGGAUCUUCGGACCUUGCGCGAUUGAAUGAGCCGGUGUCGGAUUAGCUAGUUGGCGGGGUAAAGGCCCACCAAGGCGACGGUCCGUAGCUGGUCAGAGAGGAUGAUCAGCCACACUGGAACUGAGACACGGGCCAGACUCCUACGGGAGGCAGCAGUGGGGAAUAUUGGACAAUGGGCGCAAGCCUGAUCCAGCCAUACCGCGUGGGUGAAGAAGGCCUUCGGGUUGUAAAGCCCUUUUGUUGGGAAAGAAAAGCAGCAGGUUAAUACCCCGCUGUUCUGACGGUACCCAAAGAAUAAGCACCGGCUAACUUCGUG